AUGCCAUGUGCUCUUAGAAGGCUUUUUGCAACUAUUCUUGUAUUCUAUGAGGCGACCAACAUCCGUGCAUUGUGGGAGAAGCACCUGGAGUCAAUGUCUGAGGAUUACCGUCGUACCCAGUCCAACCAGGCUGCGUUGGAACAGAUGGUCCUUAGAGACAUCUGGGAUUUGGUGCAUUCGAUGGGCACAUAUAUUAAAAGCUAUGGCCUCCCGGAGCUGGUUGAGACCGAUGAUGGUUCCGGCGACCUCCUAAGGGAGGUUCGAGAGGAGUUGUCGGUCGGUGUGGAUCAAGAGCAUUUAGAUCUGUAUACAUCCCUGAACAUUGAGCAGAGGGCUGGGUUUGAGGAAAUCUUGGAUCACGUGGUGAACAAUAGGAAACAGGUUUUCUUUGUUGAUGGUCCUGGUGGCACGAGUAAGACUUAUCUCUACAAGGCGCUUCUUGCUAAAGUGCGUUCAUUGGGUAAAAUAGCUAUUGCAACCACGACAUCUGGAAUAGCCGCAUCAAUCAUGCCCGAUGGACGUACCGCCCACUCCAGGUUCAAAAUUCCGGUUAAGCUCAUGGAUAAUAGCAUCUGCAGCUUCACCAAGCAAAGUGGUACUGCGGAGUUGCUUCAGAGAGCAUCUCUCAUAAUUUGGGAUGAGGUUUUCAUGACGAAGCGUCAAGCAGUUGAGGCACUUGAUAGGUCACUACAGGAUAUCAUGGGAUGUGUUAUGCCAUUUGGGGGGAAGGUUGUGGUGUUUGGAGGGGAUUUUAGGCAGUUCCUUCCCGUGGUCCCGCGUGGGACAAGAGCACAAAUCACUGACGCCACACUAGAAUUAGACAAAUAUGCCUCACGCGUAAUAUGA
Molecule: ribosomal RNA, 846 nt
Filed under: Triticum aestivum (bread wheat)
Lineage: Eukaryota; Viridiplantae; Streptophyta; Magnoliopsida; Poales; Poaceae
Description: partial small subunit ribosomal RNA
Source: RNAcentral